This is a non-coding RNA of Oryctolagus cuniculus (rabbit), 1050 nucleotides long. The record is from RefSeq and is a predicted model, not a curated record. Lineage: Eukaryota; Metazoa; Chordata; Mammalia; Lagomorpha; Leporidae.
GAGUAUGCGUCCUGUGGACCGCAGGGGUGGGUCAACACAGAGUAUGCGUCCUGUGACCGCAGGGGUGGGUCAACACAGAGUAUGCGUCCUGUGGACCGCAGGGGUGGGUCAACACAGAGUAUGCGUCCUGUGGACCGCAGGGGUGGGUCAACACAGAGUAUGCGUCCUGUGGACCGCAGGGGUGGGUCAACACAGAGUAUGCGUCCUGUGGACCGCAGGGGUGGGUCAACACAGAGUAUGCGUCCUGUGGACCGCAGGGGUGGGUCAACACAGAGAAUGCGUCCUGUGGACCGCAGCGGGGAAUGUGGGGUUUGAAGUUAGCCAGAAGAACUUAGGGUCCUGUUUCUGUUUUGCCGAGUCUUUGACUUUCAAAAUAGAACUUGUUAUUUUUUAGGGCCCAAUCCUUUAAAGAUUAUAAAAAGAUGGAGUGACAGAUUUCACCAACAGGAAAGGCAAGAAGCUGAGAGCUAGGACGCUACUGUGUACCUCUCCUCCUGCUGGGAAGAGGGACCCCACAGGGCCGACUGCUGCCUUUUACUGUGUGGCAUGAAGGCUGGCAGAGGGGUGGCUUCUCUUUGGUGUAAAAUAGGUCCUGUUAAUUCAUGUUUGAUCAACAUCCCUUACUUCUACCCAGUCCCUUUUUGUCUUUGGAUGUUUGUGUUGACUUCUUAUUUAAAUCCCAUGAUCCACAGACAUGUUAAUGGAUUCUUCAGAUAAAGAGGGAAGAAACAAUCUGUGUUCAUCACAAGCAUCCCAUGUUCACUUUUUCCUCUAGGUAGAAGGACAAAAACUGACCUUUGAAACAAUUCUUCCUAUUAGUUGUUAAAAGAGGCGUGUUGAGUAAUAAAAAUAGUCAAAGAAUCAGGCAGAGCUGAAAGCCUGUUCGCUCGCUGGCAGUUAGAAAAGCACACGACACCAUCGUCUGUGGCCCGCACCUGAGAGGCUGCCUUUGAUCCACAUGGGGCUGGCUUCUUUCAUACAGUCUUGUGUCCAUGAUUUUGGAAAAAAGAAAUCAGUCUCCUCCUUCUCACUCUCUUGAAGGAAAUAGAA